GGGGAUUUAGCUCAGCGGCAUAAGCGCCUGCCUUGCAAGCAGGCUGUCAGGAGUUUGAUCCCCG
RNAcentral lists this transfer RNA (64 nucleotides) under Cavia porcellus (domestic guinea pig). It matches the Rfam family "tRNA". Rfam says of the family: Transfer RNA (tRNA) molecules are approximately 80 nucleotides in length. Their secondary structure includes four short double-helical elements and three loops (D, anti-codon, and T loops). Further hydrogen bonds mediate the characteristic L-shaped molecular structure. tRNAs have two regions of fundamental functional importance: the anti-codon, which is responsible for specific mRNA codon recognition, and the 3' end, to which the tRNAs corresponding amino acid is attached (by aminoacyl-tRNA synthetases). tRNAs cope with the degeneracy of the genetic code in two manners: having more than one tRNA (with a specific anti-codon) for a particular amino acid; and 'wobble' base-pairing, i.e. permitting non-standard base-pairing at the 3rd anti-codon position. Lineage: Eukaryota; Metazoa; Chordata; Mammalia; Rodentia; Caviidae. The record is from Rfam by way of RNAcentral.